This is a long non-coding RNA of Marmota monax (woodchuck), 13952 nucleotides long. RefSeq lists it as uncharacterized. The transcript is spliced from 2 exons. The record is from RefSeq and is a predicted model, not a curated record. NCBI's taxonomy places the organism in Eukaryota, Metazoa, Chordata, Mammalia, Rodentia, Sciuridae.
GUGUUCUCAAGCUUAAAAAAAAAAAAAAAAAAAUCUGAUUUUUAUCCCUCACCAGGUUCUUAGAAACUUUUGAUAGCUGUUUUAUUAAGAAAAGUUGCAGAGGUACUAUAGUAAUUAUAAGAGGUUAUAAGGAUUAGUGUUCUCCAAAUUAAUGUUGUACAUGACACCUACUUAAAGGAUAAUAUUCUGAGAUAUAGAGAUAUUUUAAGACAUUCUCUCAGAGAUUGGGGGGUUCUACUUAAAUUGUUAGGAUGAAUCAGCUAGUCUAUAUUCUGGGAAAUUACAAUAAUCAAUAAAAAGUAUCUAAUUUUCAUAUCUAGCCUCAACUACUAUCAUCAAAGAAGGGCUUAAAAAAUUGAAAGAUUGAAGGAACCUCUAAAACUUAAUAUAGACCAAAACAAAUUGAGAGAGAUUUUUUAAAAGGUCCAAAUAAAUGUACUGUAGGGUUUCAGAAUGUAUGCCAGAUGUCUAAUCUUACCUAGAGAAAUAUGCUAGUACUUGGCUAAACAAUGAAAAGAAGGCCAUCUUAAAAACAGUUUUAAAGGAGAUUUAUCUUAACCAUGUUCCACUAACACAGAAUAGGGACAAGCCUGACAGUUUGGAGCAGACAGUUCUCCAGGAUAGAUUGGUAUCUAACAGAUAAACAAAAUGCCUGAAAUAUAAUUUUAGGGGCUGGGACUGUAGCUCAAUGGUAGAGUGCCUGCCUCACACAUGUGAGGCACUGGGUUCAGUCUUCGGCAACACAUAAAAAUAGAAAUAUUUUGUGUGCAACUACAACUAAAAAAAAAAUUUUAAAGAGUUUUUAAAAAAUCAUAAUUUUAGUAAGUCUUUAGAAAAAUUUACUAUUUUUCAUAGAGAGACUUUAAAAAGAUAAUACAGUACCUUCAACUUAUAGGGGGCCACCCAUUUGAAAAGAUGUGUUUAUCUCCAGUUAGUCCUAGAUAUUCCAAGGGAUUUACAAAGGUUAACAUAAUUCUAGCCAAGUUUAGAUGUUACAGCAUAGUUAAAUGCAGCCCAAAUGAAGAAACAGAAAGACAAAUGCAGAGAUUAAAAUGGUAGUCAUAGCUCCAAGAGAAAUAAAUUUCCUGGGUAAAAUGUUUGCUCCUAAGUUACAGAUUUUGAAACCCCCUUAACAUUAAAACAGGGCCUUACUUCAAGCACCUGGCAACAGUUUAUUACUGAAAAAGAAAGGAAAAAAAAAAGUCUGAAAAUAAUUAUGCCUAAAAUAUUAGACAAACAGCCAUAAAUAAAUCAGCUCAAUAGUCAAUAGCAUAUUUCAAUAAAAAAGCUAACAUAAUAGACCUUUUCUCAACUAUAAUAAUAUCUGACAAUGUCCUACAUACAUUGAUAUUUUAAAAUUAAUAAAACCAUAAUUAUACAUAAUUAUUAGCUAAUUUUACUACAUUAAAUAAGGUAUUAAGGGUGUUCAUACAACUGUUUUUUUUUAAUGCACAAAGAUUAUUUGUAAUAGAUCCCUAAAAAUGUUAUUGCUAGCUCAAUGUCAUAAAUUCUAAAUUAGAUCACUGUCUUAAACCACAUUGUGGACUUGUUUUUACCCAUUAACAUUUGAGAUACUAAUUCCCCCUACUUAGGUCAGCACUAAGUUGAUAACCAUAAUGCCAGUUUUUCAUGGAUUCAUAGAUAAAAGACUGUUCAUUUCUCUAUUUCAUUCUUUAUUAAUUGUAAUAAACAAAAUAUCUUCUCUAGGCUUUUUUAACAUAUGUACUUCCUAUUUUGGAUAGAUGUCUAUAUAUUUCUCAUGUCCCUAGUAAAGACCACCAAUACUACAUUAAUAUCUCUUGUCUCUUGCUUCUUUCCAAAUUAAGAUAAAUAUUUAAGUUAAUCUAGAGCUAAUUUCAGCCUGCAAAUAUUUAUAUACAACUUAUUGUAUUCUUUAUUUUUGGUAAUUCUGUUAAAGUCAAAAUCAAGUCAUACAUUUAGUAAAGGGUAAGUUUCUAUUUACCUUGUUCCCAUUAAAUAACUUCUGUCAAGUUUCACAACCACCUAGAGAUAAUAAAUCUUUUCUUAUUAUUUAAAUACUUGUACUACAUUAAACAUUGCCUGUAUAACUUAAAACUAAUGAUACUAUGGCUUAUGCCAAGCCUCUACUCAAUUUUUAUUAAAUAAAAAGAUGGGAAAAGAGAACCCCAUGGCACAUAAUAGAUGUUACAAAAUAUUUUUUAAAUUUUUCUUAAUUGUGAUAUUGGGAGUCUUACUUCUUCUGAACAUGAUUAGUAAGUUAAAUCAAAUUUCAAAAGAGUUUAAACUGGUCAUUGUGGAAAGGUUGAAAAACCUCACACAGGAAGAUAAAUUUCCAGCUGCAUAGUUUACAGCCAUGCAGCUUCAUGGGCUUGUCAGGUAAGUAAAAAUUAUGAACAAACAUCCAUGGACCCAUUUCUCAAGUCCACCCUCAAAGAAAAAUACACACACACACACACACACACACACAUUGUAGUUGGACACAAUACUUUUAUUUUAUUUAUCUUUGUGUGGUGCUAAGAAUUGAACCCAGUGCCUUGUACAUGCUAAGCAAGUGCUCUACCACUGACCCACAAACACAGCCCCUCAGGUCCACCUUUGAUGUUCCUUGCAGUGAAGACUGGAAAGUCUAGGCAUGCAACUAUAUGAAUUUUACUGAUUGUAAUCGUCAGUUAUAGCUAUAUGUUGAUCUUAUGGUAAUCAGGCUGUCUGGCAGUAUCUUUUGAGAAAAAGACAGUAUAUGAUAACCCUAAACAAGCCAAUUAUGCUGAUCCUUACAAAUUAAGACUCUCUCUCUCUCUCUCUCUCUCUCUCUCUAUAUAUAUAUAUAUAUAUAUAUAUAUAUAUAUAAUUGUCAAAAUAGAAAGAUAGUUGAAAUAGAAAUUUUCUAUAUAGGCCAGUUAUUUACAUAAAAUAUCCAACAAUGUAUUAUUGCCCUAAUAAUUCUGUAAUAGAAAUUGGCACAUUUUCUAAAUGGAUAGGUUUGGCCUAUGUAUUGUCAAUAUAACAUAAGGUGUCUAGAAAUGGUCUCCUACAAUGACAUGAAGAUGACAUAACUCUUAGAAACCUGAAUUUUCAGUGAGACAGCACUCAAAAGGAUGUUUUGAUGUUUGACUUCUACCUUCAGAGUGUUUACAUUACUGACAGAACUAAAAGACUCCUUAAAUGUGAGAAUUGGAAAGAUGGUUAAAUAACCAUCUGUAACCUAUAAAAGGUACAACUUGCCUAAUUGUAUCACUUUUUAUAGUAGGAUGAAAAGGACAUUGAUCCUCAUCAAUGUCUCUUUGUCCUGUUGCCAGCUAGCAUGCUGAAGUUAAAAUUCAGGCCUUGAAACAGGUGCAUGCCAAUUAACCAGACCUAGGCAAGUUCUUAAUCUCAUGAUCAAUGAAGUGACUACUUAAAAUAUUCAUUGUUCCUAUACUACAUCUUCUGUGGCUAUGUUUUAAAACUUAUAACAUGUAAAUUUUCUUAAUAAUUUGACUUAAAUUACUUCCAAGAACCUUCAUAGUCAGGUAAGUGCUAAUGGAAGGAUUGAAACUAAGUUAAAUGUUCUAGAAGCCACUGUAAUGAGUAAUGCAAAUGACCCCUCUGCUCUAGGAUUUGCGGGAAGGCUUAAAUGCUAUGCCAAAUAAAAAUGUCUGUGUUACUAUGGCCAAACAGAAUGCUUCCAAAUAAAAUUGGGAAAAGAUUAAAAAUUUUCUGAUGAGUUUUUGGCAGAGUAAUCAUAAUAACCUGGAUCUUCCAAAGCUAAUUAAAUGACCUUAAUCCUAAAUAUGCUGAAACAUUCUAUAUAGUAUAUUAUUGAGAUGAUAUGUUUUCUACUAAUUUUAUUUAUAUCUCAAGAGUAGGUCAUGGUCUUCUCAGAACAAGAGUCUAGUGAUUACAACAUAAAUUCCCAGUUGCCUUUUUUUUUUUUAAUUUUAAGAAAAGGGAAAUAUGUCAGGAGCUGCCCUGGAUACAAGAUCCCUUUCAGUCCUGAUGCACCAGGUUCUGAACAUAUUGUCUUUAGUCUGGCACAGUAGUGCCAGGUCACAGUAAUUUGGGUAUUACCCUAGCUCGGAAAACAAGGUGUGGCUCCAGAAUUAGGUGUUAUCCAUUGAGGUUGAGUUGCACUCAUCUGUUCCUUUAUAAUCUUACUCCUUUGCCAUUUGGGGGAUAGAAUGUUUUGUGGAAUCUUCCCUUGUAUGUCUCCUAUAUAAGAAUAAACAAUUUCAGUGCCUCUCUCUCUUCCCAUGAACCUUUAAGGUCAGAGAGCCAUCACAGAUUUUGAGAUGGUACUUUUGUGUGUUUGUAUGCUUUCUUUGUUGGUUUCUUAAUUUUUUAAUAGUCAGAUUUUGUGAAGCCAGCAUUAGGUCACCAGCUAGGACUGAUGGUGAUAACAGACAUUUUAGAUCUAAAAAGAUAUUUAUUACAAAUCUAAAAUUACAUCUUUGUUGUUAUUUUUUUAUUUGUCAAGUUGCACUUUUCUUCUUUCUUCUCUCAUGAAAUGAUCACAUAGAGAAAGCAAAAUCUUUAGGAACUGCCAUCCAGUUCUUGGAGAAAAGUUAGAAAUACUGCAACCAUUUAAAAAUGUAACAUGGGGAAAAAUAGUUGAUAAAGCAAAGAGGUAAUUCUGGUAUUCAGAAUAUGAAUAGAGCCAGGUGCAGUGACCAUACCUGAAAUCCCAUUGUCUUGGGAGGCUGAGGCUGGAGGAUAAUGAUUCAAAGCCAGCCUCAGCAAGGGUGAGGGGCUAAGCAACUCCGUGAGACCCUGCCUCUAAAUGAAAUAUAAAUAAGGUUGGGAAUGUGGCUCAGAGUUUGAGUGCCCAUGAAUUCAAUUUCUGGUACACCCCUCAAAAAAAAAGUGAAUAUAAACAGAAACCUGGAGAUGUAGGAAUUCAUUCUGAGACUGAAGGGCUGCCAUAUUAAUAUAUUUAUAGAUCUAAUUUUCAACCAAAAAUAUCAAAAAGUUGUACGAAGAAACUGGACAUGUGGUACAUUCAAAGGCUGAAUAAACAAUAAACCAAUAGAAUCCAUCUCUCAGGAAUGGCACUCCCCAAUCAUAAAAUAUUCCUGCUGCAGCCCCAAAACAUGAUAGCAACCACAUGGCUUGUACUUUAAAGAUGGGGGCGUGGUUUGUAUGUGAUUUUAUGGCAGCAUUAAGGCACAUAAGGAUUUUAAAUGUUCCAGGACAAUAGUGGCCCAAACAAAGAACAUUUUUUUUUUUUUAGUGUCCUUUUACUUUUGAAAGAAAAUGAUGGGCUUUGUUCAAAGAUAAUUCUCUUCAUUUCCCAUGUAUGCAAACAUAGGAGAAUGAAUUUGCUGUUUUUGUUAUGGACUGUUGGUUCAAGGUGGUUUAUGCUAAUGAAGAGCCUUGGAUAACAUCAACUUUAAGAAAACAUUUUAGUGCAGAGGGAUUUGAGACUUCAGCAAGGGAAGAACAACACCCAACACAUCAAAGGUUUUGGAGAUCCAAGGAAAAUACUGUGCCUGAAGUCUUCAACCUACAUGGAGAGAGGCCCUUAAAGCCAAUUGUACAGACUUCAAAAGAGAAGUGAUGGAUGGGCCAUUGAGGGGUUUCAUUAAUCAUUCCAUGCUUCAUCCAUGAUGAAUAUUGAUUGCCAACAUCCUGGAUAAUUCUUUUCUGAAAUACAUCAUCAUGACUUAAAGCUAAAGCCAACUCUAAACUUGCCCCCCCCCACCUUUUUUUUAACCGUAGAUUGAACUCAGGGGUACUUAGCCUCUGAACAACACACCAAACUCUAUUUUGUAUUUUACUUAAACAGUGUCUCACUGAGUUUCUUGGGGCCUCACUGAGUUGCUGAGCCUGUGUUCAAAUUCAUGAUCCUUCUGCCUCAGCCUCCUGAGUUGUGGGGAUUACAGGUGUGAACCACUGUGCCCAGGAAAUUUGUUGCAUUCUUAUGACCAUGUCACAGUCAUUGUGCCCUGUAAUGUAUCACUGCCUUAUCUCCAGAUUGUGCUUGUAGGAUUGGUAAAAGGUCUAGGUUCUGUGUGUUCAUAUUGACAUUGGGACAGCUGUGCCCCAAACUUUAUUGUUUAAAAAUACAGAAUAAGAAUGUAGAUCAAAGUGAAAUAAAAUAUGAUGUGAGGAAGCUGAAAUCAGAAUCAUGGAGGGAGUAUGGAAUUGGGACCUCCUACUCAAGAGGCAAGAGUCUUCUCAUCUCACUUGAAUAUAGCAGAAAGGCUUGUGUAUUAGCCUGUUGUCUUCUUCUAUGACAAAACCCAGGAGACUGGGUACUUUACAGAAAGAAGAACAUUAUUUCAUAGUUUUGAGCCCUCACAAGUAUGCCACCCACAUGGGCUCAAUUCCUGAGUGGCCCUGUGCUGUCAUAAGGGGGUGACUGGCAUCAUUGUAGAAAUGUAUGUGAGAGAAAUCACAUGUGAGUUUGGAAGGUAAAGAGUAGACUAGGGGAAGUUCUGUCUUUUAUAACACCCCUUUCAGAAUUAGCCAGGGGCCCAAAAGAAUUAUCUUGAUCACUUCAAUUGGCAAACUUCUCAAAGGCCUGUCACCUCCAACAGGCCUUGCCUCAUAAGGGCCCCAUCACCUCUUAACACUGCAACACUGGACAUCAGGCUUCCAAUAGAAAAACCUUGGGAGACACACCACAUCCAAUGGGAAGGUAAUGCAUUUCUAUAACAGGGUCAACACUUUCAAAAUUUUAUGAAAAUGGACAUAAAGGCAUAGGCAGCAGUGAACUCAACCCAGAAAAGAAAGAACUAGAAAUUCCUUUGCAGAAAACCUAAAGACCAACCUCAGCAUAGACUAAAUUUGCUUCAUACAACUAUUUCUGAUAAACAUAGCAUACUGGUACUCAGGAGAAUGGGAAGUCACUAGACAUAUGCAGGGGGAGAAAUAAGGUUGUAGGUUUAGACUGCAAACAGGGGACAACAUACCCAGGCAGAAACCAUGGAGAAACUUUCUUGUGAUAGAAAGUCUUGUGACAGCUUAAUCCCAGCUCUGGGAUUUGAGUGCUUCUUCAAACAUUCCUACUAUUAGAGAUUUCUCUCCCUAUGCAUUUUUUUAUUCCUGCCUUCAGGUCACAUAUGACUCCCUGGGCAUAUGGAGCUGCCUAGGGUACUGCUCAAACAUUCACAUUUUGAGAAUAGUCAAGUUGGCACAUAAACUUGGGAAGACUUGACUUUCCUGGAGACAUCAAUUUCGUAGAAAUUGGCUCCACAUGAAAUCCAUAUAAAAAUCUACCUACCCAUGGCUGUAGGUAAAAACACACCAAAUAGUAAAUACUCAGGGUGAACAAUUCAGAAAAUCUUGUAUAUGAUAUAUUGACUAUGUUAAAGGUACUGUAUUCCAGUUAGGAGUUUUGUUGCAUGAUUAGAUCAUGACUGUUCUUGACAUGGGGGAAUAUAUGUAUCUAUUUGAGAUAAGAGAUAAAUGAGUUUGUUGUUCAAUUCUAGUGACAAUUUCACUCUAUCUUAUGGUAUUGUUUUGUUUACCUUAAAAUGCACAGUAAAAUUUGUUUUCAAAAAUUUGGUCAAGUACUUGAGUAAAUAUAUUUUCAAAAAAGACAAAGUGCUCAGUAGAUAUAUUAAAUAUGCUCAUAGUGACACUAAUCAGUAAAAUGCUCAAAAAUAUGAGGAGAUAUUACCUCACUAUUUUGGGCGGGUUAAUAUUAAAAAUACCAGAGAUAACAAGUAUUGGCAGUAAUAUGGAGCAAAGAGAACCUUGGGCAGGUUAUUUGUGAGAUUAUGUAAAUCGACACACCCACCAUGGAAAACUACAUAAAGGUGCCUUGGAAAAUUGAGAGUAAAACUUACACGUGAUACAGCAAUCCCCCUCCCUGGAAUGCAUCUAAAAGAAAAUAAUUUAUCUCUCACAGAGACAUCUGCAUCUCCAUGUUUCUUGCAGUACUGUUCACAACAAGCAAGACAGAAGCAAGGAAAGACAUAGCGUCCACCAGUGGAUGACUGUGUGUAGGUGAUGUGGAAUGUCCACUAACGUUCAAUGGAAUGUUAUUGAGCCUUCUAAAUAGGUAAAUUUUGUCCCUGUGCUGAUGUAAGUGAACACUGAGGACAGUAUUGUGACAUAAAUCAGACAAGAUUACAGUUUGAUCUCUCUUAUGUGACAUCUAAUAAAUCAACUUCAUAGAAAUAGAGUGGAAUGGUGGUUGUAAAGAGGUGGGUAGUGAGGGACACAGGGAGGUUGUUUAAAGUGCACAAAAUUCCAUUCUAACAUCGAUAAAUUUGGGGGAUCUGCUGUAUAACAUGGAGAAUGAAGUUAAUAAUACAUUUUUGUAUACUUGAUAUUUGCUGUGAGAUCUUAAAUAUCCUCACCACACAUACAUCUUAAGUGAUAGAUAUGUUAAUUAAGAGGCUCUGGUAAGCAGUUUACAAUAUCUACUUAUGAAAGCUCCAUGUGUUGUACACCAUGUAUGUGUACAAAUGUAUUUGUCGGUCACACCUCAGCAGAGCAGGACUGAGUCUGCACAUACCCUAUUUUCAAGCAUGCUUGGUUCUUCAUUCUGAGCUGCAGCCUUCACACUGAACUUCCACCCAUCCCUCACAGCCAUGAAGACAGUCCACAUCCCAACUCUCACAUGCACAACUGUGUCCUGACAUUUAAUGUUCAUUUUUCUGUGGUGCCUAUCCUAGGGACCUCAGAACUGUCCUUCUUCCUCCCAUUACCCCAAGACCCAUUAUCAGUUCUCUUCUUUUUUAUUUGCUUUCAAUUCCAUUACCUCAGUCCAUCCCCAUAGCUCCUGGGUCCUACACAACCAAAUGUCCAAGAUCAAACUCCAAACUGAUUGUCACCAACCCCACCAUCCUCCACCUUUCUUCUGGUUGCAUGCCUCUUUAUAUCACUUCUUUCCUGUGUGCCUGGUUUUAAAUCAAGACACUUUUCCUUUUUUCCACUGGUAUUGUUUUGUGUCCUUUAGUUAUACCACAUGGUUGUAAAGACUCAUACUUAGUCUUAAUAUCUAGAAGUGUACAUCUUUUAGUUUGCUUUUCCUGGUGUUUCUCUUGCACUUUGGGCCAUCACGGCCUCCUUAGCUCUCUACCUACUUUGUCUCCCCCCCCCCCCAAUACUCUUGUCAUUUGUCUCUUCCAAGAAACAUUGUGUCUCUCUAGAUACACCUCUUUGUCAUAUUCUGGGCCUGUUUUGGACAAGUACUUAAUCCAAGACCUGAUACCCCAGCUUUAUUCACAACUUCUCACCACACGUAUGUAUGAAUGCCUCUGAGGCAUUGAAUCUUCUACAAUUUUUUCAAUCCGGUGAGCUUCAACAUUUUUCAUGUUCACUCUUCAUCCUCAGGACCACCUCAAUUCCUGUGAAACCAUGUACCCCAUGUAUCUUGUACCUUCUGGGCCCUAUGUCUUUAUGUUCCUUGGCUUUUUACCCAUGUGUGCCUUCACCUAGUCAUGCCAAUGAGCUUUUCCUGGAUACUUAAUGAACUUUGUCUGUGUCCUCUACAUUAUAGGAUUUGCACAAUCAAAUUUCCCAAUCCCCCUAUUCCCCAUGUUCUUAUUUAGUACCACUUCAAUCUAAUACCAGUUUACUGUUACUACACAAAACAUACCUGCAUUUAUACCACAGGUUUUCACCUGUAUGAUAAAUCUCACAGCAUUUGUUAAGGUGACAUAUUGUAAAUAGUGUCCUUGCAGGAUUGGAGGGAUUUAUAAUAAUUGAAAGGGUUUUUGUACUGUGUUCACCCAUCAUACUUGCUGCAGAAUUAAUGUUAGCAGCCCUGGCACAUCUUAGAGUUACAGAUAUGUUGGCUUAAGCAGGUCAAACCAUCUUAUCCUGUUGCUGUCAUUGGUGAGUGAGAAUUUUUCUACAUUUUUUAUGGAUAUUGUUUUGUUUCUCCCUCCUGUCAGUAAGAGGUAAAUAUUGGUAGAGCAUAUUUAUUCACAAAAUUAUGAUAUGAAUUGACAUCCAAUUAUGCAAAUGAGUCCAAUUAAUUAACCCAUAUUUGUGCAGAUGAAUUCAGUGACUUUCAAAGUGAACAACUAGCAUCACCUAAAUUUCUCUAAACAACAAAUUCUAUGAAAUAUAUGGAUUCAGAUGACUGAAAAAAUCCUAGUAUUUCAACUUUCAAAUGCCACACAUGUGUCAGUUUGCAUGAAUGUCUCCUGUUAUAAAUAUCAUUCACUAACCUUGCUUCCUUGAAACAAAUUUACUUAGGUAUUAAUUAACUCACAUUUUUAUCUUCUUAAAUCAGUGAAUAUUUGCUUCUGCCAUACAGUCUUUCAUGUUUUAUGUUCCAAAGCUGAGGAUAUAACCUGGGAAUGUGGCACAAUUACUGUGAUAGCACUUGUUUUCCUAACACACAAUAAAUGAGUCAGGGUGUAGCUCUACAGAUGUGGAACCAGUCCUGUCUCAUUGCACAUAACUCACCAUGGGACAUGUACCUCAGAGCUAUAGUUCCAACUCAAUGCAUUUGCAGUUAUUAAAAUAUUUAAAUGUUCCUUUAUAUAAUUGACAUUGCAUAUUGUAUUAGUCAGGGUUCUCUAGAAGAACAGAAUCAACAGGAAGUACAAUUAUAAAAGGAUAAUUUAUAAGAUUGGCUUAUAUUACUGGAAGGUGGAUAGUCAACAAUGGCCAUCUGCAGGUCAGACAGCUGGAAGGAAGAAUCAGUAGAUGCAAAGUCCAAGAGGUUGAAGCCUGGGCCUGAACAAGAGAGAUUAGCAGUGCUACUCUAGUUUGAAACCAAAGGUUUCUGGAGAAUCACCUUUGGAAGAGUAAAGAAGCAAGAGUCUGAUAUCCUCAGAUGAUGGUAGCAGCAAUCAAGAACCCAUUCAAGAAAAAGUCAACCAUGCAUCUGCUGCUGCUUCCUUGUUCUUCCAACUUUUAUUCCAUCCAAGUCAUCAUCAUAUUUGGUGCAGCCCAUUCUUAGGGAGGGUCUCCAUUUCAGUUGGCUAUCCCACAUGCCAACCAUUUCUAGACACAUAGACAUACCCAUAAUCCUCUUAAUCCUAGGUAUCUCUUAAUCUGAUGAAGCUGACAAUUCAAAUUAACCAUUACACAUGUAGAAUAAAUAUUUAUAAUCAAUGGGAAACUUUUUUUCCAAUAAGAAAUUCCAAAAUACUACUAGUUUAGAAGAUAGGAGGAAUAUAGAAAAACAAAUAGAAAAAAAAAACAGAACUUGAUUAAUAGAAGAACUCCACUUACUAGCUUUAGGGAAACAUGGUGGUUCAUGGCACCCUCUCUUUAAACACUGACAAUUUCAAAACCCCUCUCUGCACCUAAUCAGAGUAAGACUUUGAGACUUAACCUCUGUGUACCCAAAUUCUCCUUGUAAUCAUGAAAGUAAUCUCAGCCCCUGCUUCAUGUUGAGAAGAUUAAAAAAUCACCAUGUGCUGCAUUUAGAGCAGGGAUUUUUACACAUUUUGUGGUUUAAUUCUUAAUUAAAGCAUCAUGAAACCUGCUAGUGAGAAUGAAACCUUAAGUUCAAUUUUGCAAUUCCCACUUGAGAGAGGGCAAUGUUGGAUUUUGGUUGACAGGACACAGAUAGCCCAGAACUCCCAUUCCCCUGCAGGACCCUCUGGGAACUGGCAGGAUGGCAGCCGGUGAUGAGGCUGUAGGAAUCAUCUUCCUGUCACAGACUGUGGUUGGAGUUCUGGGCAAUUUCUGUCUUAUCUAUUACCUGUUAUUUUCUUCACUGGGUGCAGGUUAAGGCCUACAAAUUUGAUUCUUAAGCACUUGAUGUGGUCAAUUUGUUAAAUCUCCUGCAUAAAGAAAGUCCCCAGACAGGGGCACUUUUCAGUUUGGAAGUUUUCCUUGGUGAUUUUGGAUGUAAGCUGCUUUUCAAUGUUAACAGGAUGGGCAGUGAUGAGUCCAUUGUUACCAUAUGCCUUCUAAGUGUCUUCCAGGCUACCAUCUUCAGCCCAGUGAAUUCAGAUGGGCAGAGCUUUAAAGUAAAAACUCCCAGUACAUUGGUACCUCCUUAUACCUGAGCUGGAUCCUGUAACUCCUUAGCUGUGGAUCAAGCACAGGGCCAGGCACAAGUAUGGCAAGCCUUUCACCACUGAGCCACACUUGGAGUGAAUCUGAUCUCUAGUCCUGAUUAGUUGUCUGUUUAUGAAAGGUCAUCUAAUGCCACUUUUUUUUUUUAUUUUUAGUGUGUAUAUUUCUUAUGGUUGAAAUAAAACUUUGUCACAUCCUAGUGGCAUUUUGUGAUGGUGAUCCCUGCUGCUGUGGCUGUUUCCCUGACAGAAUGGGAAUCACACACAGGCUUCAUGUGUUAAUGGAUGUGCUCCUCUGUAUUUCACCUGGAGUCUAACCUUACAGUCCCUGCACACUAGUGUGCUCCAGCGCCCCAGGAGCUCAGUUCUCUGGCCACCUUGGCCUCCUGGCUCCUGCUUUAGCUCUCUUUUGUGUGCUAGUGCAGGUUGUGUGAUUGCAUCUAGCACUCCAGACAGAGGACUUUGUUGGAAUAAUGAGGAUCCAUCUUUUUAUAGAGAAGCAACUGUGUUUUUACACAGAAGCAACUGAUGAAAGGGACAGCCAGAUGCCUAAGAAGUGAGUCACAUGGCACUCACUGCUAGAUGAAACAAACUCUAGAAUGAAGAACCUGAACAAAAUAAGACCCAGCAUGAGUCAUUUACACACCGGCUAUGAGUGUUACAAAAACAUGCCAACAACAAAGAUCAAACAUAUCGGCUUAAUAUUUAUUUCCUUCUAUUUCCAAUUCUGCUCUCUUAAAAUCCAAUAUCUGUGCUGGAAAGAUGGUGCAAUCCUGUAAUCCCAGCAGUUUGCAGGGCCUGAUCCAGGAGAACAGCAAGUUUAAAGCUUGUCUCAGCAUUGUAGUGAGGUCCUAAGCAACUCAGCAAGACCUUGUCUCUGUGCCGGAUUCUCCUGAUUCUCUAGGCUCAGGUUAGAUCUCUCAGUUUGCAUCUGCUCAAUUUAUGUGCUGGUUUUUGCCUUUAAUUCAUGAAUCAAAGCACCCAGUCUAAGUUUGUGCCACUUUUACAUUGAGGUAUUUGAGUCUAAGCUUCCUGUGUGUGACUGACUAACCGUGCCUGUCCGAAUACCAGUUUGUUUGGCCAAAUAGCCUCUGGAUCUACCCAAGACGAUCUGCACCUCCAGUCCUGGGGUUUUCCAUGCCAAAUAUCCCAGAACUUACAGCUAUUUUUAGGUCUUCUGUGUGUGUGUGUUUGUGUGUAUAUGUGUGUGUGUGUGUAUAUAAUUGUACCCUCUAAAAUGGUUACAAAAAAAGAAUAUAUAUAUAUAUAUAUAUAUAUACAUAUACAAACACAUACAAGGAGUGGGCCAUACACACACACACACACACACACACACAUACAUUUCCCUCCCAUCCCACUCCAAAUUCCCACCAGGAGUUCAGCUUCUAAACAGCUCCUUAGCCUUGUCUGGUGUACUUCAACUUUCCAAGGUUCAGGACUUUCUCUCCUAUAUUGAGUAUUAGUGGACUGUUUUCCCCCCACCCUUCACUCACCUCCCAAAGAAGUAAUUUUUUUCUGAUUGUGUCCCAAGUCAUGAAACUGUGUGAACCACCACUUCCCACAAAUCCACCAUCUUUUUUUCUCUUACUCAUUCUCAAUAUUCAGAUACUUUAGCUCCAUUAUUCUAAUGUAGUCAGAAAAAAAAUAGAAUAAAACAAAGCAUCUAAGAAAUAGGAACUUCAGCAGAUUAAGAGAUGACAGGCUUUGGUUUUGUAUGCUAACACAGCAGCUCUGAUUACUGACAUUUACCCAUAGAGGCAUGCGGUGGUUAACAGGUAGUUGCAAAAGAAAACCACAGUAGCAGAGGCAAAAGACAAAGCUAUGGCGACAUUCCUUCUUUAGGCUUAGUGCAGUAAAAGACCCUAAGCUUCUUGAGCAAAGAGUCCCGAGGCUGUUAACAAGUUCGUGCCAGAAAGAAAAGUUGACUACACUCUGCGAUAGAAUUGCACCAACUCUGUUUCCUUGAUGUACCCCAAACAUGCUUAUGUAUAAGUAUGGUCCUUUGGGAACCAUCUCUUUGGCCCAUGGAACCACUAAUAAAACGUUGCUUUCAGA